This 94-nucleotide non-coding RNA is filed under the name Paramoeba aestuarina. Lineage: Eukaryota; Discosea; Flabellinia; Dactylopodida; Paramoebidae. The record is from RNAcentral.
AGAGAUACAGACACUCCAUAAAAAUAAGAAACAGAUAUGUUUGUUUUGUUCUUUUUUUGAUUCUUGUCGACCUUGUGUUUGCUGUUUCCUUGUU